UGAGAAUAUUCAGAAGACGGAGCCCCACUU
Molecule: non-coding RNA, 30 nt
Filed under: Mus musculus (house mouse)
Lineage: Eukaryota; Metazoa; Chordata; Mammalia; Rodentia; Muridae
Source: RNAcentral